This is a long non-coding RNA of Sardina pilchardus (European sardine), 481 nucleotides long. RefSeq lists it as uncharacterized. The record is from RefSeq and is a predicted model, not a curated record. Lineage: Eukaryota; Metazoa; Chordata; Actinopteri; Clupeiformes; Clupeidae. The transcript has 3 exons.
AAUGUAAGCUGUGUGGCUUUGAGAGUCCCAGUCUUGACAGUCUUCUCAAGCACUACCUGUUCUGCCACUAUCAAGGACGCACUAGUCCGUUGCCCUGUCUCCAUCCUCAGUGCGUUUGCACUUUCAGAACUCCAGGGUUUCCACCGGAUCUAUUACAUGACCUCUUGGAGGGAGUUGUACCCUAUGAGUUGGCUGUUUGCUUGAAGGAACUCAUUACAAAGAGAGUAUGUUGUUUCGCGUGUUGCUGGGUCCUGAUAAUGCCAGAAGAAUCAAUGUCACUGAAGCCCUCAACUCGGUCAGUCACUUGAAAAAUAUUCUGCAAGAUAGUCUACAGAUUGUGCAAGACUUUGAGAUUCAGUUUGAGGAUCCAGACUUUGGCAACCAGCUGUGUAAUUUGACUGACAUAUCCGAACUUCCACCAGAUAGAGCUAUAUUGAAAAUAAUCACCAAAGUAUCUGAAGAGUCAGAUAAUGCUUCUAUA